AAACAGGAAGGUCUUAGUGUCAUUGUAUUGGCUCGGGGUGAGGGUUCUAAACAGGAAGGUCUUUGUGUCAUUGUAUUGGCUCGGGGUGAGGGUUCUAAACAGGAAGGUCUUAGUGUCAUUGUAUUGGCUCGGGGUGAGUGUUCUAAACAGGAAGGUCUUUGUAUCAUUGUAUUGGCUCGGGGUGAGUGUUCUAAACAGGAAGGUCUUAGUAUCAUUGUAUUGGCUCGGGGUGAGGGUUCUAAGCAGGAAGGUCUUUGUAUCAUUGUAUUGGCUCGGGGUGAGGGUUCUAAACAGGAAGGUCUUUGUGUCAUUGUAUUGGCUUGGGGUGAGUGUUCUAAACAGGAAGGUCUUUGUAUCAUUGUAUUGGCUCGGGGUGAGUGUUCUAAACAGGAAGGUCUUAGUAUCAUUGUAUUGGCUCGGGGUGAGGGUUCUAAGCAGGAAGGUCUUUGUAUCAUUGUAUUGGCUCGGGGUGAGGGUUCUAAACAGGAAGGUCUUUGUGUCAUUGUAUUGGCUUGGGGUGAGGGUUCUAAACAGGAAGGUCUUUGUAUGGAUUGUAUUGGCUCGGGGUGAGGGUUCUAAACAGGAAGGGGUGGUGAUUUCUCCUGUAUUCUCUUCUUUCAGUGGGUUGCCUAAACCCCACCCCAUAGGCCCCUAUAUUCAAAUAAUGAAGAAAAACUGAGAUGGUAUGACAUGGUGUAAUAAUCACAAGAUCAUAAAGUCAGAGGCUUGUCAUAAUUAUUACACGGUUUGAUAACGCCAGAGGAAAUGAGCCCCUGGCCAUAGUUGUAAUGAGUACGCUGAGAGUCGGGAAGCAAGUUCAGGGAGUGAAUAAAUGUAAUAAAUAAAUGAACAAAACAAGAAACACAAACAGC
Molecule: long non-coding RNA, 872 nt
Filed under: Salmo salar (Atlantic salmon)
Lineage: Eukaryota; Metazoa; Chordata; Actinopteri; Salmoniformes; Salmonidae
Description: lncRNA (ENSSSAG00000098145.1)
Source: RNAcentral